GUGCCAGCAGCCGCGGUAAUACGGAGGGUGCGAGCGUUGUUCGGAUUUAUUGGGCGUAAAGCGCGUGCAGGCGGUUUUCUAAGUCUGAUGUGAAAGCCCCGGGCUUACCCCGGGAAGUGCAUUGGAAACUGGGAGACUUGAGUACGGGAGAGGGCAGCGGAAUUCCUGGUGUAGGGGUGAAAUCCGCAGAUAUCAGGAAGAACACCGGUGGCGAAGGCGGCUGCCUGGACCGAUACUGACGCUGAGACGCGAAAGCGUGGGGAUCAAACAGGAUUAGAUACCCUGGUAGUCC
RNAcentral lists this ribosomal RNA (292 nucleotides) under uncultured bacterium. RNAcentral's name for it is "partial 16S ribosomal RNA". It matches the Rfam family "Bacterial small subunit ribosomal RNA", at positions 505 to 796 of the family's 1533-position model. The record is from RNAcentral.